This 105-nucleotide small nucleolar RNA is filed under the name Echinops telfairi (small Madagascar hedgehog). Its description in RNAcentral is "Small nucleolar RNA U3 (ENSETEG00000025158.1)". The stretch from base 1 to 89 matches the Rfam family "Small nucleolar RNA U3". Rfam says of the family: Small nucleolar RNAs (snoRNAs) are involved in the processing and modification of rRNA in the nucleolus. There are two main classes of snoRNAs: the box C/D class, and the box H/ACA class. Lineage: Eukaryota; Metazoa; Chordata; Mammalia; Afrosoricida; Tenrecidae. The record is from RNAcentral.
AAGACUAUACUUUCAGGGAUCAUUUCUAUAGUUUGUUACUAGAGAAGUUUCUCUGAUCGUGAAGUUAAUCAAAACAAAAGAACUUUUUGAUGACAAUUAGAUUGC